This 349-nucleotide ribosomal RNA is filed under the name uncultured bacterium. Its description in RNAcentral is "bacterial SSU rRNA". It matches the Rfam family "Bacterial small subunit ribosomal RNA", at positions 917 to 1269 of the family's 1533-position model. The record is from RNAcentral.
GGGCCCGCACAAGCGGUGGAGCAUGUGGUUUAAUUCGAUGAUACGCGAGGAACCUUACCAGGGCUUAAAUGUAGUGGGACAGGUCUAGAGAUAGACCCUUCUUCGGACUCAUUACAAGGUGCUGCAUGGUUGUCGUCAGCUCGUGCCGUGAGGUGUCAGGUUAAGUCCUAUAACGAGCGCAACCCCUAUCGUUAGUUGCCAGCGGGUAAUGCCGGGAACUCUAGCGAAACUGCCGGUGCAAACCGUGAGGAAGGUGGGGAUGACGUCAAAUCAUCACGGCCCUUACGUCCUGGCUACACACGUGCUACAUUGGGCGAGACAAUGAGAUGCAAAUCUGUGAAGACUAGCU